GGGGUUGUGGCUUAGCGGUAGAGUGCUCGCCUUGCCCAUGUGAGACCCUGGGUUCAAUCCUCAGCACCACA
RNAcentral lists this transfer RNA (71 nucleotides) under Marmota monax (woodchuck). RNAcentral describes it as "tRNA.Undet". The record is from RNAcentral. Lineage: Eukaryota; Metazoa; Chordata; Mammalia; Rodentia; Sciuridae.